UGUUGUACUUUCUGCUUGUGUAUUCUCUCUGGGCAGAGAUGCCACUUGCCUCCCCCACCCUGCCCUGCGCCCACUGCAGUGCUCCCCUCGCUUCAGCUUUGGGCUCACCUCCCGCUACCCUGUCCAUGUUCCCUUCUCACCAGCAGCCAGGCCUCUGCUCCACUCGCUUGGUCCUCAAAGGUGGACUCCUUACUGGCCUUGUUUCCAGACAGCCUCCUAUCACCCGUGCCCAAGUGGUCUUUCUAACAAAUCCACAUUUUUGUUUGUUUUUGAGACCGCCUCUCUCUCUGUCACCCAAGCUGGAGUGCGGUGGUGCGAUCACUGCUCACUGCAGCCUUAACCUCCUGGGCCCAAGUGAUCUUCCCACCUCAGCCCCCUGAGUAGCUGGGACCAUAGGCACAGGCCAACAUGCCUGGCUAAUUUUUUUACUUUUGUAGAGAUGGGGCCUUGUUGUGUUCCCCGGGCUGGUCUUGAAUUCCUGGGAUCAAGUGAUCCUCCUGCCUCAGGCUCACAAAGCGCUGGGAUUACAGGUGUGAGCCACUGUGCCCGGCCACAAAUCAAAAUUUUUGAGUCCUAUCAUUGGCUCCCCCAGGCCCAUAGGACAAAGUCCUAACCCCUAGUCAGGACACUCAGUGUCCUCUGCUCUCUCCUGGGUUUUCAUCCUCUUCUCUUCUCACUCCUGGCCACUGAUCUGUUUCCACUGCCCUCAUUUGCUCUCCUGCUCUUGCUUGAGCUAUUCUUUCUGCCUGGAAUGCCCAUGUUGGCACCAUAAUCACCAACUAAAAGAUCCUUUUCUUUUUAUUUUUUUAGAGAUAGGGUCUUGCUGUGUUGCCCAGGCUGGUCUCAAACUCCAGGACUCAAUUGAUCUUUUUGCCUUGGCCUCCCAAAGUGCUGGGAUUAACAGGAAGAAAUGUUAUCAAUUCUGUUGAUGGACCCCUUAAUCUCUUCUACUGAUUAUCUUCUACUUGAACCAGUGCCAAAUUAAUGUUGCAAGCUUUGUCGUGAAAUAUGUAAGACUUAUAACUUUGUUGUUAUUCCACUCGAUUGUGAUGAAUAUGGGUAUUCUGGGUUUCUAUUUAAACUUUACAUACUGUUUUUAAAUUUCUCCAAAAAACCUGAUAGAAUUUUGACUGAAAUUGAUUUCAAUCUAUAGAUCAAUUUGGAUAAUUAAUACAUGUAAAUGUGGUAGCUAUUUAUAAUUAUUUUCUGAUAUUUAUACAUUUCAUUAAUUUUAAUUGUGUGAUUGGAUUCACAUCAAUCUCUUUAGUACAAUGUUGAAUACAGGUGAGAUUAAAUUUUAUCCCUAUAUUAUUCUCUACAUUUGAAAAAUAGUUUUUAAUAUUUCACCAUUAAGUGUUAUAUUGGCUGUAUAAUAUUUGCAAUAGUAUUUUGGAAAAGUAAUAUAUUCAAAUAUAAUUUUUUAUCCUAAAUUUAGUACGAAUUAUUAUAAAUUGAGUUUUUAAGUGCAUGCAAGUUUAUUAGAAAAUAAAGGAAUAAAGAAUGGCUACUCCACAGGCAGAGCAGCUUCAAGGGCUGCUGGUUGCCCAUUUUUAUGGCUAUUUCUUGAUUAUAUGCUAAGCAAUGGGUAGAUUAUUCGUGAGUUUUCUGGAAAAGGGGUGGGCAAUUCCCAGAACUGAGGGUUACUCCCAUUUUUAGAAUAUAGAGAAACUUCCUGAUGUUGCCGUGGCAUUUGUAAACUCUCAUGCUGCUGGUGGGAAUAUGGCAGUGAGGAUGACUAGCUGUCACUCUCGUCGCCAUCUUGAUUUUUGUAGGUUUUAGCCAGCUUCUUUACUACAAACUGUUUUACCAGCAGGGUCUUUAUGACCUGUAUCUUUUGAUGACCUCCUACCUCAUCCUGUGACUUAGAAUGCUUAGCCCUCUGAGAAUGAAGCCCAGUACGUUUCAGCCUUAUUUUACUUAGCCCCUUUUCAAGAUGGAGUUGCUCUGGUUCAGAAGUCUCUGAAAUUUCCCCUAUUUUCUUUGUAAGAUAACCCUUCAUUCUAAGGAUUGUAGAGGGACAAAAAUCCAUCUUCUGUGACUUCUUUAAGCUGAAUAGGGGUGAUGAUAUUUCUGCCUAACUAUGAAGGUCCCUUGUGUUCAGGAUAGAGGGGAGCUAAGUCAGAAAGCAUCAAUAUGCUGAGGGCCAUUUAUAACUCCACAUUCUGACAAAACUGGAAGAUUAAUGAGUGCACAAUGUAAGAAAACAUUCUGAGAAAACUGGAUAUCGGACGAUUAAUAAGUGUACAAUUUAAGGAAACAUUCAGUAAGCUUAUCCUGCAUUCUGAUGCAGAGUACAACAGCAAUAUAUUCCACAACACUGAAGCAAAAUAAGUAAAAUUAUCCCAAGUAAAAUAAAUAAGAAGGCUUUCUAUGAACUAGGCAAAUAUUGCAACCAAGCUGAUAGGGGAUUGCUAACUGAUUCCAAUAUGUGUCCAGAAUUAGAAUACUGAUACAGAUUUUUACAAUACUUUCCCUUUAGUUUCUUCUGAGCAGCAGCCAGAGAUCACUGAUUAAUUCACAGGAAUAAGCAGGGUUACUCUAAACUGCUUGAAAAGGAAACCUCAAAAACAACUGAUGAGACUAGAAUUUAAUAACAAGUAUACCAUAAUUCUUGAAGCAUAAUUUUUCUCUCUCCAGUCUUUCAUUUUUACCAAAGACAAAUCAUGGUAAGUUCAACUUGCUUUAUUAUACUUGGCCUGAUUAUUUGUAUAAUAUGCAGCAAGAAUAAUUAUUUUUCACAUAGACUUUUUAAGUUGACUUUGAUGGAAAUUUGUUGCAUAGAAAGAUUCUCAGAUAAGACUUUUUUAAAGAUGAUCCCAGCCAUGGCUUUGUACCCUCAAAUACCUAUGAGUUAGGUAAAUUCCUCUCCUCUUGAGGUCCCACGACAACUUGGAGCUCCUGAGCCUUUCAGAAAGUGACAUUCUUUACUUACUGAGGUGAAGAACCCUGCACAAGGCCUUUGUAGACAAGUAUGAGGCCAGUUUUCUUAAGGGAAUUUUAUUGACUCUGUAAGUCAAAUUUAAUUCCUUAAAGAAAAGCAUAUCAUUUCAGUAAAGCCUUGAUAAAAAUAACAAGUUUCUCCAGUUGUGUCAUGUUCCAAAAAAAAAAAAAAAAUCUUAUUGCACUUAUGCAAAUAACAAUAUGGCCAUAAGUUAAGAAUACUAAUAAAGAGUUUCCAAAUUCUGGAUAAAUCAGGAAGAGAGAAACAAAUAUGUUCCAACUUUUGUUCAUAGGAGGAUACUUAAUUGUUAAAAGUUGUCAAUAGCUCAAAAGAAUAAGUUUUCUUGACUCUGAAAAUCAAAACAAAGGAUCAGCAAUGUUUUAAGCAAAAUGUCAAAAAAAUUACUUCAGUCUUUUAUUAGUUCAGUCCAUGCAGUUAACUCCUGUUCUGCUUGAUAUUCAUGAACUUUUCAGCUCUCCAUGAGAGUCCUGAAGGAUUUUCCUCUAUUCUAAUGUCACAAUAUCCAAAGUUAUCAGAAGCCUGCAUUCAAGAACACCUGUUAGAGUCCUAUGGCUGAUUAUAAACCACAUUUUAAAGUGGAUCAAAACAAGACAACAAUUGUUGAUGGAUGACAAAAUGCCUUAGGGCAGUCACUGUUAACGCCACAAUUGACUAGGAAAUUUUGGCUACUUUUGUGGCACACAAAAAUUUUACAUAACAAUCAUAAUUAUUAAUAACAUACAGUAAGUCAUAUUAGAAGUAUAGGUGUUUCCCAUAAUUUUGGAACACAUACCAAUAACAUAUUUAUACAAAUACAACUCAAAGAAAGCCAAACACCAUUUCAUAUCUGACAGUGCUUCCCGUGUGAUUUUUAUACCAAAUAAACCAAAUGCCAUUUCUACAUUAGUGUACUAUUAAUGUUAAACCCUGUGUUUAUUAAAACCUUAUAGGCAAAUAUAUCCAAUUUUUAUGUCUGAUCAUAAGGUAAGAUUUUUAUUAACCAUUUAUAAUCCUUUAAAUUUUUGUUAAAGAGAAGAUUAGUGUUCUAAGAAAAACUUGCUUUUUUUAUUGCGGUGAUAAAUUUAUGGAAAAAUUGAAUAAAACUCCUUUAACUGUAUGUUCACACAUAGAAUUUAUCUUACAAGAUCUGACAUAAAAUCCUUUAACCCUCUAAACUUAGGCAAGAAAUCCACAUUACCAUGCUUCUUACAAUCUUUUACCAAAAGUAUAUUCUACUUUUCUUGCAUGCCUUGAAUGUAGAGCUGUUUCUUUAGUAGUCUCAAAUACAUAUUACACUGUUAACUCUUCAUUUUGAAUUAUAUGCUCUGUCUUUUUCUGCAUAUACUGAAAUGAUCAAACUAUUUUCUACAUUUUUCUCUUAAUGUGGUAGAAUGUAAUGAAUUUCAAAGUUAAAUAAAAUUUUUAAUUUCUGCACUUAAACUCAUCUUACAUUGAAAUAUAUAUCUUCCUUAUAUUGCAAAAUUCAUUUGACUAAUGCAUUGUUGAAUACUUGGCAUUUAUGUUUUAGACAUAAACUCUAGCUUUAAAAAUGAUUAUUAUAAUACUUAAAGUAUAAUAAUAAUAAAAGAAAGAAAAGAAAAAAAGGAAAACAUGGAUAAGCAGAUAUGAAAAUAUUUUUUUCCAAAAAUGGAGAUUAUAUUACAGAUUAUUGCAUGCCAAACUCUUUGUAAACAUAGAAAAUGAUACAGAGGCCAGGCGCGGUGGCUCACGCCUGUAAUCCCAGCACUUUGGGAGGCCGAGACGGGCGGAUCACGAGGUCAGGAGAUCGAGACCAAGGUGAAACCCCGUCUCUACUAAAAAUACAAAAAGUUAGCCGGGCGUAGUGGCGGGCGCCUGUAGUCCCAGCUACUCGGGAGGCUGAGGCAGGAGAAUGGCGUGAACCCGGGAGGCGGAGCUUGCAGUGAGCCGAGAUCGCGCCACUGCAGUCCAGCCUGGGUGACAGAGCGAGACUCCGUCUCAAAAAAAAAAAAAAAAAAGAAAAAAGAAAAUGAUACAGAAUUACUGUCAAAAACAAUUUAGACUUGUCGGCUUUGUUGGCAUUUUGAAUGUGAAUACUCUAAGAUGUGAAUCUGACUGAAUAAGUGAUAUUUAUUUCAAAAAACUGUAGUACAUCAAUUCCUAGAACCUUUUAUGAAUGAAUACUUUAUGAAAUGAAUUUUAUGACUGGCUUGAAUAAAGUUGUUGUAAAUUAUUGCCUGAUAAAGCAGAAUGGUAUCUAACUUUAGUUACCUUUAGCUUCUAAUUUAGUGAAAAUAAAAGACUUCUUGAAAUGUCAAAAAAAAAAAAAUGAUGUGGGAAUUACGCCAUUUUUAGUCUGUACCCUGGAAAAGAUUUUUGGACAGAAUAUUCUCUUCUUCUUAAUUAUUUGGUAGAAUUUGAUAAGAGGAAGAGAUUUUUCAAGUUUUUCGUUUAAAUGUUUGCAUCCUUCAUAACAUUGAUUUCAGAACUUGAUGAGGUUAUGAAAAGAAAAGAAAAUUGCAGACUGAUCAUUCUUUUUUUUUUUUUUUUCUUGAGAGGUAGUGUCACUCUGUCACCCAGGCUGGAGUGCAGUGGCAUGAUCUCUUCUCAUUGCAACCUCUGCCACCUGGGCUCAAUUGAUUCUCCUGCAUCAGCUUCCCAAGCAGCUGUGAUUACAGGCUCCCACCACCAUGCCCAGCUAAUUUUUGUAUUUGUAGUAGAGAUGGGAUUUUGCCAUGUUGGCCAGGCUGGUCAUGAACUCCUCACCUCAGGUGAUCUGCCUGCGUUGGCCUCCCAAAGUGCUGAGAUGACAGGUGUCAGCCACCACACCUGGCCUGGAUCAUUCUUAUGUAGACAAAUGCAGAUAUAUUGCAUCAUCGUAAGCUUAAUCCACAAAAAACACAUCAAGGCAGAGCAUAGUUUAUUUCAGAAAUAAAAGAUUGGUUUUGCAGCCAUAAAUUGCUCUAAUUCAGCAUAUGAACCGAAUUAAAUAAAAUAUAUACAUACAUAUACAUACAUAUCACUCCAGAUGAAUGUUUAAAUCACUGAUUUUUCUAACUUUUCAUUAUUUCAUAUAAAGUCCUUGAACAGUUUUCCUUAAAGUACAGCUAUAGCUAUAUUCUGCCUAUUUUCCAGUGUCAUAUUUCCAUGCUGUUUCUUAAAUUCAUAUACUAAUUACAUGCUAUGUUACAUCAUCUCACACAUGUGUUUAGAAAUGUACAGUAUAAUUUGGAAAUAUUCAGAAAUUUUUAAAACUUUUUGUUAAUUAUUUCUAGAUAAUUCUAAAGUAGUCAGUCUACAUACACUAUACAUUUAGCCCUUUGACAUUUGAUGAUACAUACCAUGUAUCUCUUUUAUUUACACCUAUAUAUGCAUCUCUCUAUAGUUUUACUAUCUUUUCAUCAUUUGUAUAAUUUUAUAAUUUAUUAAUCAUUUUUAAAUCUUUUGAAUAGUUACCAUUUUAAACUGUUUUAUCAGUUAUGAGAGAGGCAUUGUAAAAUAUUCAACCAUAAUUGUAAAUGUGUUUACAUAUCUUUUGGCUUCUGUCAUUUUUUAAAUUUGAAUAUGCAAAAUUUUAUGUGCACAAAACGUUAGAGUUGCUAUAUCUUAAGAUGUUGCCAUUGUAUUAAAUGCUUUUCUUCUCUCUAGAAAUACUUCUUGACUAAUGUGGUUGAUUAUUGUAUAUGCACACAAGUUUCUCAUUUUUAGUAUUUGAAUGAUAUAUAUGUAUAGGUGAUAAAUACGUUAUAUACUGUCUUAUUUUGAGCAUAUUUUUAUGAUAUUUGUAAGGUAUGUCUCUUUUAAGCCACAUAUUAGUUAUUUUUUUACUUGACAUCAGUCUUUAACUAGAAUAUCUAUUUAGAUUUUAUGUAACUCAUUGUCUAAUCUGUAUUCAAUUCUUUAAGCAUAUUUGUUUUCUAUUUGUCCUGUGUCUUUUACAUUUUCUUUUUUUAUUUUGUAUUAAUUAACAAAGUUUAUUAUUCUUUUUUAACCACAUUAACUUAGCAGCUAUAUGGUCUUUGUAUAGUGUUUUAGCAGCUACCAUAGAUAUUAAAACCUGAAUCCCUGGUUUAUAUUUAAGUUAGUCAUUUGUUUCCUAUACAAUGCAAGGGUCCUAGGCCAUUUAAAGUUUAUUUAUACUCCUGCCAUUGUAUAGAGCCAAUUAUUAUCUGUAUUUACAUUCAUUUGUAUUUGCCUUUUCCAAUCCUCUCUGUUUCUUUUUGCAAGCCUAUUGUUUGCUCUGUGUUUAUGUUCAUCUGCUGAACACUCUUUAGGAAUUCCUCAAUGCAGGUCAGCUUAGUAUUGAUUGUCUUUUAUUCUGAUCAGCAUAUCUUUUCUCUUAGUAAAUAUAAUUUUUUUUAUAUUCUCACUUCUGUUACUAUUCUUGUGAUUCCUACUCUUAGCCUUUCUACUACAUAAAGCAGUAAACUUUACCUAUUUUUGUAGUUUUUAAAAGAUAAUUCUCUGUAAGUUUGUCUUUUCUAUUUUAAAGUGAUGGACCUGAGUAUAAUUUUCUUUCUAUUUAACUUGAAUACGUGACUUAUGGUCUUUCAUCAAUUUUGGACAUUUUUGUCAUUAUUUCUUCAAAAUUUUCUUUUUUUCCUGUUUUCUUUCUUUCUAGUUAAACUUCAGUUAUACAUCAAUUACACGUUUUGCUCCCACUGCAUCUCUGUUUGUUAAAAUAUUUAUAUUUUAUUGUUUUAUCUCUCCUUACUUCAGUGUCUUUUUUCUGGUUCAUUAAUUUUCUUUUAUCUCUGUCUAGUCUUCUAGUACACGCACAAUUGAGUUGUGCUAAUGAAUUAAAUCCUUCAUACAAUCAAGCGAAAAAAUUUAACUGGGCAAUUUGUCUUUCUUGACUCAAAUGUCUUUCUUGACUCAACCCUCAUUCAGUAAUACAUCCAAAUUUUCAAAAAAUCCCAAUAUUUUAACCUCAAUAAUGAUAGAUUGUUUUUCAUGUGAUUGAUUUAUAUGUAAAUGUGAACAUAUUGUAGAUACUCAUUAUUCUGAUUUACUUAAUGUUUGUGAGAUUCAACCAAAGAUAUGAUGACUAUUAAAUGUCCUUUUCAUUGUUGUGCAUUGUGCAUUGACCUUAUAUGCAUAACCCCAAAUUAAGUUAUCUAUUUUCUUGAUGUAAAUUUCAGUUAACUUUAGUUUCUUAUUCUAAGGAUAAUUACAGAUGUGCAUCCUUACAUCUUUCUUAUGGAAUUAAGGAACUCAUUUGGUUCAAUAUGGUAAGGACUUACAUUGCUACAUUAACGCUAUAGAAUAUCUCAUCUCUCUUUCUCCCCAUCUCUUUCUCUCUUUCUACUUAAUUAAUCUAUGAAAAAAAUUAUUUAGAAUAAGCAAAUUUUGAAUUCCAACAACUAUCCUUUUAAAAAAAUUCUUUGCUGGAAUUUUGCUUCAGAUUUAUUGUUAAUAGAUGGUCCCGCUUACAAUUUUAUUAAAUAUCAACAUCUUGGUCACGUAGAUUAUAGGCUAUAGCAAUAUUUAAAAAAUCAUUUUACAUGAAGUACAAAUGAAAAUUUUUAUCUAUCUGUGGUAGGCUGUCUGUGACAAAUAUGUAGAUACUUUGGUUUUAAAAUUAAACAGAUGAUGAAGCAGCUUACCGAGGUGAAAUUCUUGCCCAAGCUCAUGUAGUAGACGAGGCAGAGGGAGCUGGGAUUAGAACUCAAGAAAAUUUUACUCCAGAUUCCAUGCGUUGAAAGUUAGGUUCUAUAGAACCUUAAUUAGAUUAUUUUCUGUUUUACAAAGAAGAAUUUUUAACAACACAGUUGUCACUAUCUUUCAUAUUAGAGUAAAAAUUUAUAGUGACUACACACAGAUUAAUUCAUACUCUCUACGCAUGACUUUGACAGAGCAGGUCAUUUUUGUUCCAGCGUGCGAACAUGUCAUUGAGUUUUGUGGUUUGUUUGGGCGAUUUCUACCCUUUAAAAGUGGUCCUUUCUGGCCGGGUGCGGUGGCUCACGCCUGUAAUCCCAGCACUUUGGGAGGCCGAGGCGGGUGGAUCAUGAGGUCAGGAGAUCAAGACCAUCCUGGCUAACAAGGAGAAACCCCGUCUCUACUAAAAAUACAAACAUGAGCCGGGCGUGGUGGUGGGCGGCUGUAGUCCCAGCUACUCGGGAGGCUGAGGCAGGAGAAUGGCGUGAACCCAGGAGGCGGAGCUUGCGGUGAGCCGAGAUCCUGCCACUGCACUCCAGCCUGGGUGACAGAGUGAGACUCCGUCUCAAACAAACAAACAAGCAAACAAAAAUGGUCUCUUGCUAAUUCUAUUGGCAUUUCUGUUAUUUCACAUAGGUGAAAAAACAAAAAGCUGGCUGGAUGUGGUGGCUCAUGCCUGUAAUCCCAGCACUCUGGGAGGUGGAGGCAGGAGGAUCCCUUGAGCCCAGGAGGUCAAGGCUGCAGUAAGCGGUGAUAGCACCAGGGCACUCCAGCCUGGGUGACAAAGCAAAACCCUGUCUCAAAAAAAAAAAAAUUCCUUUCAAAAUAUCUCUCUUAGUCCCUUCCACCUCUUCACAGCCAUUUCUGCAGCUUUACUUUAGACCUCUAGGGCCUCAGUCCACGUGUCCACUACUAAUUCUAAAUAAAUUCUACAUCUCCUCUCUCCCUGCUGCAAUCCACAUUCCAGGUGAUCCCAGAAGGCUUUAUUCCUACACCUCCACUUUGAAAAAGGCUGUCACUGCUCAGGUGGAGGACAAAAGGCUUACGAUUAGGCCUGUAACAGGUUAAACAGAAAUUUAAUCAUGAGGCCAUUAGGCUGAGAUAGCUCUCCCACCUUGGGUUCCUACCAAAGCAGACUAAAUCCCAAUGCAAAUGGGAAAACAAAACUUAAGCUCAACCCUUCAGAAACCACCCACUAACCACUAAAUAGGGACUGGGCACUUUAGCUCGUCAAAUACAUUUUCUUUUUGUUGCUCUUUUGAACACCUUAUCAAAGUAGUCCUCUCCCCUCCCCAUCCAGGGGGAGCACUGUUACUUGUGGUUUGGAGCUGGCCAAUUUGUGAAUUACUGUCUGCUUAAAUAAACUCUUCAGAAGUUUAAUGUGCCUAAGUUUAUCUUUUAAUGACAUGAUGGCCAAAUGAGGUUGUGCGUUGCUUGACAACACAUGCUGGAUUCAAGUAAGAAGACUACGUCUUAAACUUAUCCUGUACCUGCUAUGCCUACACCUACUCUGUACUGAGUUAAUAAUGAUUUACGAAUGAUUUAGUUAUGAUAUUAACAGUACAAUUUUGUUGCAUUGCACUUUUCCUAUUACAAGCAUUUCAUUUGUAAAAGGUAAAUAUUUAAACUGCAGCAUGGUAUUCAUAACCGCAUUUUUGCAUUUCUGUCCAUUUCUAAUAUACCUAUAUAUAUAUGUAUAUAUAUAUAUUUUAUUAUAAGUUCUGUGGUACAUGUGCAGAAUGUGCAAUUUUGUUACAUAGAUAUACAUGUGCCAUGGUGGUUUGCUGCACCCAUCAGCCCAUCACCUACGUUAGGUAUUUCUCCUAUUGUUAUCCCUAUCCUAGCCCGCCACCCCCUAACAGGCCCCAGUGUGUGAUGUUCCCCUCCCUAUAUCCAUGUGUUCUCAUUGUUCAAUUCCCACUUAUGAGUGAGAACAUGUGGUGUUUGGUUUUCUGUUCUUGUGAUAGUUUGCUGAGAAUGAUGCUUUCCGGCUUCAUCCAUGUUCCUUUCCUGCAAAAGACAUGAACUCAUCAUUUUUAAUGGCUGCAUAGUAUUCCCUGGUGUAUAUGUGCCACAUUUUCUUUAUCCAGUCUAUCAUUGAUGGGCAUUUGGGUUGUUCCAAGUCUUUGAUAUUGUGAAUAGUGCUGCAAUAAACAUACGUGUGCAUUUGUCCCUAUAACAGAAUGAUUUAUAAUCCUCUGGGUAUAUACCCAGUAAUGGGAUCGCUGGGUCAAAUGUUAUUUCUGGUUCUAGAUCCUUGAGGAAUCAUCACACUGUCUUCCACAACGGUUGAACUAAUUUACACUCCCACCAACAGUGUAAAGCAUUCCUGUUUCUCCACAUCCUCUCUAGUUUCUGUUGUUUCCUGACUUUUUAAUGAUCACCAUUCUAACUGGUGUGAGAUGGUAUCCCAUUGUGGUUUUGAUGUGCAUUUCUCUAAUGACCAGUGAUGAUGAGCAUUUUUGCAUAUGUCUGUUGGCUGCAUAAAUGUCUUCUUUUGAGAAGUGUCUGUUAAUAUUCUUGGCCCACUUUUUGAUGGGUUUUUUUUUUUCUUGCAAGUUUAUUUAAGUUCUUUGUAGAUUCUGGAUAUUAGCCCUUUGUCAGAUGGAUAGAUUGCGAAAAUUUUCUCCCAUUCUGUAGGUUGCCUGUUCACUCUGAUGAUAGUUUCUUUUGCUGUGCAGAAGCUCUUUAGUUUAAUUAGAUCCCAUUUGUCAAUUUUGGCUCUUGUUGCCAUUGCUUUUGGUAUUUUAGACAUGAAGUCUUUGUCCAUACCUAUGUCUUGAAUGGUAUUGCCCAGGUUUUCUUGUAGGAUUUUUAUGGUCCUAGGUCUUAUGUUUAAGUCUUUGAUACAUGUUGAGUUGAUUUUUGUAUAAGGUGUAAGGAAGGGGUCCAGUUUCAGUUUUCUGCAUAUGGUUAGCCAGUUUUCGCAGCAACAUUUAUUAAAUAGGGAAUCUUUUCCCCAUUGCUUGUUUGUGUCAAGUUUGUCAAAGAUCAGAUGGUUGUAGAUGUGUGGCGUUAUUUCUGAGGCCUCUGUUCUGUUCCAUUGAUCUAUAUAUCUGUUUUGGUACCAGUACCAGUUGCUGUUUUGGUUACUGUAGCCUUGUAGUAUAGUUUGAAGUAAAGUAGUGUGAUGCCUCCAGCUUUGUUCUUGCCCAGGAUUGUCUUGGCUAUACAGGCUCUUUUUUGGUUCCAUAUGAAGUUUAAAGUAGUUUUUCCCAAUUUUGUGAAGAAAGUCAGUGGUAGUUUCAUCAGGAUAACUUUGUAUAAAUUACUUUGGGCAGUAUGGCCAUUUUCUUUCUUUUCUUUUUUUUUUUUUUUUUUUGAGAUGGAGUCUUGCUCUGUCACUCAGGCUGGAGUGCAGUGGCGCGAUCUGGGCUCACUGCAAGCUCCGCCUCCUGGGUUCACACCAUUCUCCUGCCUCAGCCUACCAAGUAGCUGGGACUACAGGCACCAUUUUCAUGAUAUUAAUUCUUCCUAUCCAUGAGCAUGGAAUGUUUUUCCAUUUGUUUGUGUCUUCUUUUAUUUCCUUGAGCAGUGGUUUGUAGUUCUCCUUGAAGAAGUCCUUCACAUCCCUUGUAAGUUGUAUUCCUAGGUAUUUUAUUAUCUUAGUAGUGAUUGUGAAUGGGAGUUCACUCAUGAUUUGGUUAUUUGUCUGUUAUUGGUGUAUAAGAAUGCUUGUGAUUUUUGCACAUUCAUGUUGUAUCCUGAGACUUUUCUGAAGUUGCUUAUCAGCUUAAGGAGACUUUGGGCUGAGACGAUGGGGUUUUUUAAAUAUACAAUCAAGUCAUCUGCAAACAGAGACAAUGUGACUUGCUGUUUUCCUAUCUGAAUACCCUUUAUUUCUUUCUCUUGCCUGAUUGCCCUGGCCAGAACUUCCAAUACUAUGUUGAAUAGGAGUGGUGAGAGAGAGCAUCCUUGUCUUGUGCCAGUUUUCAAAGGGAAUGCUUCCAGUUUUUGCCCAUUCGGUAUGAUAUUGGCUGUGGGUUUGUCACGAAUAGCUCUUACUAUUUUGAGAUACAGUCCAUCAAUACCCAGUUUAUUGAGAGUUUUUAGCAUGAAGGGCUGUUGAAUUUUGUUGAAGGCCUUUUCUGUAUCUAUUGAGAUAAUCAUGUGGUUUUUGUCAUUGGUUCUGUUUAUGUGAUGGAUUACAUUUAUUGAUUUGCCUAUGUUGAACCAGCCUUGCAUCCCAGGGAUGAAGCCCACUUGAUCGUGGUGGAUAAGCUUUUCAAUGUGCUGCUGGAUUCGGUUUGCCAGUAUUUUAUUGAGGACUUUCACAUCGACGUUCAUCAGGGAUAUUGGUCUAAAAUUCUCUUUUUUUGUUGUGUCUCUGCCAGGCUUUGGUAUCAGGAUGACGCUGGCCUCAUAAAAUGAGUUAGGGAGGAUUCCCUCUUUUUCUAUUGUUUGAAAUAGUUUCAGAAGGAAUGGUACCAGCUCCUCUUUGUACCUCUGGUAGAAUUCGGCUGUGAAUCUGUCUGGUCCUGGACGUUUUUUGGCUGGUAGGCUAUUAACUACUGCCUCAAUUUCAGAACUUGUUAUUGGUUUAUCCAGGGAUUUGACUUCUUCCUGGUUUAGACUUGGGAGGGUGUACGUAUCCAGGAAUUUAUCCAUUUCUUCUAGAUUUUCUAGUCUAUUUGCAUAGAGGUGUUUAUAGUAUUCUCUGAUGGUAGUUUGUAUUUCUGUGGGAUCAGUGGUGAUAUCCCCUUUAUCAUUUUUUAUUGUGUCUAUUUGAUUCUUCUCUAUUUUAUUCUUUAUUAGUCUUGCUACCUGUCUAUCAAUUUUGUUGAUCUUUUCAGAAAACCAGCUCCUGGAUUAAUUGAUUUUUUGAAGGGUUUUUCUUGUCUCUAUCUCCUUCAGUUCUGCUCUGAUCUUAGUUAUUUCUUGUCUUCUGGUAGAUUUUGAAUUUGUUUGCUGUUGCUUCUCUAGUUCUUUCAGUUUUGAUGUUAGGGUGUCAAUUUUAGAUCUUUCCUGCUUUCUCUCAUGGUUAUUUAGUACUAUAAAUUUCCCUCUACACACCGCUUUAAAGAUGUCCCAGAGAUUCGGGUCCAUUGUGUCUUCAUUCUCAUUGGUUUCAAAGAACAUCUUUAUUUCUGGCUUCAUUUCGUUGUUUACCCAGUAGUCACUUAGGAACAGGUUGUUCAGUUUCCAUGUAGUUGUGUGGUUUUGACUGAGUUUCUUAAUCCUGAGUUCUAGUUUGAUUGCACUGUGGUCUGAGAGACUGUUAUGAUUUUUGUUCUUUUGCAUUUGCUGAGGAGUGUUUUACUUUCAAUUAUGCAGUCAAUUUUAGAAUACAUGCGAUGAGGUGCUAAGAAGACUGUAUAUUCUGUUGACUUGGCAUGGAGAGUUCUGUAGAUGGUUAUUAGGUCAGCUUGGUCCAGAGCUGAGUUCUAGUCCUGAAUAUCCUUGUUAAUUUUCUGUCUUAUUGAUCAGUCUAGUAUUGAAAUUGGGGUAUUAAAGUCUCCUACUAUUAUUGUGUGGGAGUCUAAGUCUAUUUGUAAGUCUCUAAGGACUUGCUUUAUGCAUCUGGGUGCUCCUGUAUUGGGUGCAUAUAUAUUUAGGAUAGUUAGCUAUUCUUGCUGCAUUGAUUCCUUUACCAUUAUGUAAUGGCCUUCUUUGUCUCUUUUGAUCUUGUUGGUUUAAAGUCUGUUUUAUCAGAGAUUAGGAUAGUAACUCCUGCUUUUUUUUUUUUUUUUGCUUGGUAAAUAUUCCUCCAUCCCUUUAUUUUGAGCCCAUGUGUGUCUUUGCACAUGAGAUGGGUCUCCUGAAUACAGCACACUGAUGGGUCUUGACUCUGUAUCCAAUUUGCCAGUCUGUGUCUUUUAAUUGGGGCAUUUAGCCCAUUUACAUUUAAGGUUAAUAUUGUUAUUUGUGAAUUUUAUCCUGUCAUUAUGAUGCUAGCUGGUUGUUUUGCCCAUUAGUUGGUGCAGUUUCAUCAUAGUAUUGACGGUCUUCACAAUUUGGCAUGUUUUUGCCGUGGCUGUUACUGUUUGUUCCUUUCCAUAUUUAGUGCUUCCUUCAGGAGCUCUUGUAAGGCAGGCCUGGAGGUGACAAAAAUCUCUCAGCAUUUGCUUUUCUGUAAAGCAUUUUAUUUCUCCUUCACUUAUGAAGCUUAGUUUGGCUGGAUAUGAAAUUCUGGGUUGAAAAUUAUUUUCUUUAAGAAUGUUCAUUAUUGACCUUCACUCUCUUCUGGUAUGUAGGGUUUCUGCAGAGAGAUCCACUGUUAGUCUGCUGGGCUUCCCUUUGUGGGUAACCUGACCUUUCUCUCUGGCUGCCCUUAACAUUUUUUCCUUCAUUUCAACCUUGGUGAAUCUGAUGAUUAUUUGUCUUGGGGUUGCUUUUUUCGAGGAGUAUCUUUGUGGUGUUUUCUGUAUUUCUGAAUUUGAAUGUUGGCCUGUCUUGCUAGGUUGGGGAAGUUCUCCUGGAUAAUAUCCUGAAGAGUAUUUUCCAACUUGGUUCCAUUCUCCGCAUCACUUUCAGGUACACCAAUCACACAUAGAUUUGGUCUUUCACAUAGUCCCAUAUUUCUUGGAGGCUUUGUUCGUUCCUUUUUAUUCUUUUUUCUCUAAUCUUGUCUUCAUGCUUUAUUUCAUUAAGUUGAUCUUCAAUGACUGAUAUCCUUUCUUCCGCUUUAUCAGUUCAGCUAUUGAUACUUGUGUAUGCUUUGCGAAGUUCUUGUGCUCUGUUUUUCAGCUCCGUCAGAUCAUUUAUGUUCUCCUCUAAACUGGUUAUUCUAGUUAGCAAUUUGUCUAACCUUUUUUUCAAGGUUCUUAGCUUCCUUGCAUUGGGUAAGAACAUUCUCCUUUAGCUCAGAGGAGUUUGUUUCUACCCACCUUGUGAACCCUACUUCUGUCAAUUCAUCAAACUCAUUCUCUGUCCAAUUUUGUUCCCUUGCUGGUGAGGAGUUGUGAUCCUUUGGAGAAGAGGCAUUCUGGUUUUUGGUAUUUUCAGCCUUUUUGUACGGGUUUCUCCCCAUCUUUGUGAAUUUAUCUGCCUUUGGUCUUUGAUGUUGGUGACCUUCGGGUGGGGUCUUUGAAUGGACGUGCUAUUCCUUUCUGUUUGUUAGUUUUCCUUCUGACAACCAGGCCCCUCUGCUGCUGGUCUGCUGGAGUUUGCUGGAGGUCCACUCCCAACCCUGUUUGCCUGGGUGUCACCAGCAGAGCCUGCAGAACAGCAAAGAUUGCUGCCUGAUCUUUUCUCCAGAAGCUUUGCCCCAGAGGGGCACCUGCCAGAUGCCAGCCAGAGCUCUCCUGUAUAAGGUGUCUAUCAGCCCCUACUGGGAGGUGUUUCUCAGUCAAGAUACACAGGGGUCAGGGACCCACUUGAGGAGGCAGUUUGACCCUUAGCAGAGCUCGAAUGCUGUGCUGGGAGGUCCACUGUUCUCUUCAGAGCCGUCAGGCAGGGAUGUUUAAGUCUUCUGUAGCUGUGCCCACAGCUGCCCCUUUCCCCAGGUGCUCUGUCCCAGGGAGAUGGGGGUUUUAUCUAUAAGUCCCUGACUGGAGCUGCUGCCUUAUUUCCAGAGAUGCCCUGCCCAGAGCAGGGAAAUCUGGCAGUCUGGCCACAGCAGCCUUGCUGAGCUGCAGUGGGCUCCACCCAGUUAAAACUUCCCAGCAGCUUUGUUUACACUGUGAGCACACUGUGAGCGUAAAACCACCUAAUGAAGCCUCAGCAAUGGUGGACUCCCCUUCCCCACCAAGCUCCAGCAUCCCAGAUCGAUGUCAGACUGCUGCUGUGCUGGCAGUGAGAAUUUCAAGCCAGUGGAUCUUAGUUUGCUGAGCCCACAGGGGUGCGACCUGCUGAGCCAGACCACUUGGCUCGCUGGUUUCGGCACCCCUUUCCAGGGGAGUGAAUGGUUCUGUCUCACUGGUAUUCCAGGCGACACUGGGGUAUUGAAAAAAAGAACUCCUGCAGUUAGUUCGGUGUCUGCCCAAACGGCCACCCGGUUUUGUGCUUGAAACCCAGGGCCUUGGUCAGGUAGGCACCAAAGGGAAUCUCCUGGUUUGCAGGUUGCGAAAACCAAGGGACAAGCGCAGUAUCCGUGCCAGAGUUCCCCAGGCUCAGUCCCUCAUGGCUUCCCUUGGGUAGGGGAGAAAAUUUCCCCACCCCUUGUGCUUCCCAGGUGAGGUGACACCCUACCCUGCUUUGGCUCACCCUCCGUGGGCUGCACCCACUGUCCAAGCAGUCCCAGUGAGAUGAACUGGGUACCUCAGUUGGAAAUGCAGAAAUCACCCACCUUCUGAGUUGAUCUUGCUGGGAGCUGCAGACCAGAACUCUUGCUAUUUGGCCAUCUUGCCUUCUCUCUCUAAUAUACCCAUUUUUUAAGUUGAUUAAUUUUUUUUGAGACAGGAUGUCGCUCUGUCACCCAAGCUGGAGUGCAGUGGCUCAAUCUUGGCUCACUGCAACCUUCACCUCCCAGGUCCAAGCAAUUCUCAUGCCUCAGGCUCCAGAGUAGCUGGGAUUACAGACGCCUGCCACAACACCCAGCUAAUUUUUGUAUUUUUAGUAGAGAUGAGGUUUCCCCAUGUUGGCCAGGCUGGUCUUGAACUCCUGGCCUCAAGAGAUCUGCCUGCCCCGGCCUCCCAACAUGCUGGAUUACAGGCAUGAGCCACCACACCUGGCCAGAAUAUAUCAUUUUGUAAUUGAUCAUUUACAGGUAUAUCUGUAGGUUAAAGUAUUAGAAAUAGUAUCAGAGUAAAAAUAUCCAUAAUUUUGAUCAGUUUUGCCUAAUUGCCCAGCUGUAUACAAGUUUCUCAUAACUUCUAAGAUACCCUGCCCAAAAUGCUCAGAAGUGCACAGAUUAAAGGGCCUGAUUUGUAAUGGCACUCAAUGCCAUUUUGUCAAACUAGCAAGGCUGAGAAAUCUCCUCUUGCCUCUUGCUCCUCCCCAGGUCAGUGGUGAGCUGUGCUGGCCACAGCCCUCUGGUCAGGGGCCUUGGUUCAGGAAGUUUCUGGCUGGAUCUGAGGCUGUCCUGCCCCUUGGACAGCACCUCAGAUCCAGCCUCUGUGGGCAGCUGGCAUUAAUCUCAUUUGUUUUCUCCACCUUUGGUCCUUCUUCACUUUCACUUUGGUAUCACCCUUGGCAGUCUGCAAAGUGCUUGCCGAGCUCUUCCCCCUUUUUUAUUCUAGAAACAGCCCUGAAAAGGCUGAAACUGACACUCAGAGAAGUUAACUGACUUGCUCGCACUCCCAUCGGUGGUAAGCCGCAAAGUAGAUUGGAAUCAAGUGUCCUAGCUCCAAGCUCAGUGCUCAGUUAUUAAUAACAAUGGCAAUUAUUUGUUGAGUACAGUCAUGUAUCUCCUAACAAUGGGGAUACCACCUAAGAAAUGUGCUGUUUGGCACAGAGCACAUACACAAACCUAGAUGCUACAGCGACUGCACACCCAGGCUAUAUGAUACAGCCUAUUGCUCCCGGGCUGCAAACCUGUCCAGCAUGUGAUGUGGUGGAAUACUGAAUUGAAUACCGAAUACUGUAGGCAAUUGUAACACAGUGGUAAGUCUUUGUGUAUCUAAACAUAGCUAAAUACCAAAAGGUAUAGUAAGAAUAUGGUAUUAUAAUCUUAUGGAACUAUCAUUGUAUAUGUGGUUUGUCAACCAGAAUGUAGUUAUACAGCACAGGACUGUACUUAUGAUGUGCCAAGCACAGCUCUCAGCACUAACUCCUUUAAUCUUCAUAUCAACCCUAGAAGGUAAGUUCUUAGGUUAUCAUGGGUUCCCCAGGAGAAGACCUUGAGACGAGGGUCCAAGUGCAAGUUGUUUCUUUGGAACACAAUCUUAGAAACCAGCCUAGAGAGUGGGGAAAUGAGAGGGGGAAGGGGGAGCUAACAGGUGGUGCCAGUUACCCCACUGCGGUCAUCAGAGCUUAUCUCUGCUGAGGAAACUCUAGAACCAGUGUAGAAAACACACCUCAGAUCUACUCACCAGAGAGGCUGGACAGCCAGGGCUCUUACACAUCAGCCUCAUCCAGCAUUGUUUGCGGGGAGGCACUGUGGUGUUAGGGGGGUGUAGUGAGGGCAAUUGGACAGCUGGCUUUCACACCCAGGAGAGCUUUGAACCCAGAAGUUGGGCAGGAGUGUGCAGAAGGGAUUAAGACACCAAAUGCAGGUCGUUGCUGAUUAUGUCUACUACAGCAUUACUAUAAGACGUGUUAUAUUUUUAGAAUUGAAGAAACAGAGACUAGACAGUUUAUGCCUCUUGCCCAUGGUCAUGCAGGUAAUAAGUGGCAGAGCUGACUUAAGCAGUCGCAUCAAGAGCCUGUGCUCCUGGCCGCCAUGCUGCACCACCCCAGACCUCACUACCUCACAUUGCCUCUUCUUACACCCCAGGCAUCCCAUGAGAUUUUUGUUUCCCAUCCUGAAGCUCCUCCCUGAGCCCACUCCUCUGGACUUGGGUGCACCAAACUCCACUUGAUCCUCAGUAUAUUGGCACCCCCUCUUCCCACUACACAGUUCCACUACACCAGCGGCUCCAUUCUGCAUGCAUCAGAAUCCCCUGUGGGUCUGCUAGAUCAGACUGCUGGGCCCCUGUCAAAGCAUCUGUCUCACAAAACAAGACACUCUGGUUACCAGCCCCAGGGGAGAACUCCAAACACUUGUGCCUAUUGACCUUGGCAUCAGAGUCACCAAGGAAAACAGUGCAGUCAAGCACUGAAAGGGACGAUGCUUUGCUUAGGUAGAGAAGACACAGAGCAAGACCAGCUCCAAUAGUGUGGUCAGUGUAGAUAGGGUAUUUUACCUAUGCACACUCCUCUUGCACCCUAGAGGAAUAACCCCAUAUUUCUAUCUCGAGUCUGAAAUACUGAAAGCUGUCGGGGGGUGUCUAGGGCCCUUGACAGACAUCCAUUGAGUCUGAAAGCUCUCCCCAUGCAAUGCAUGAGGUGAUAGGCACGGCACAGGCUUUCUCUCUCUGUAAGGAAGUACCCAAGGCCCCUUCUCAUGUGGCCCCGCGUGGGUGGAAAGACCAUUUUCCCCUUUCCCGACAGUUUAUCCUUUCCUUUCUCCCUCCCUUCCUUCCUUCUUCCUUCCUUCCUUCCUUCUUCCUUCCUUCCUUCUUCCUUCCUUCUUUCCUUCCUUCCUUCCUUCCUUCCUUCCUUCCUUCCUUCCUUCCUUCCUUCCUUCCUUCAUGUUUUUUAGAGAGUGAGUCAUGCUAUGUUGUCUAGGCUGCUCUUGAACUCCUGGGCUCAAGCAAUCUUCCUGCCUCAGCCUCCUUAGUAGCAGCAAUUAAAGGGGUAUAAUCCCUGAGCAGGUUAACAGUUUCUCAUUCCAUGUGUCUAGGGAGAGACAGAGAAUCUACAUUUCUACAGGUACCCGGGCGGUGCUGUGCAGGUGCAUGAUAAGGAGCAUGACCUGAUGUCUGAUUCACACCAGGGUGUGGGAAUCUCAGAGGCAGAGAGCCCUGGAGAUGAAGGGGACAGAGUCCUGGAUUCAGAUCUCAUUUUACAAUGAAGACCCCAAUGCAGAAAGUCAUGUCUGAAAUUCUGAGCUUACUCUGCUGCCUGCUGGGACCUGCUCUGGAUGAGAGAAGGGAGGAAAAGGACUAAUCAGAGGAGCCAAUGAAGUCACUCCAUGAGCUCAGCUAAACUGCAGAUGAAAUGACUGAGCGUCGAGCGUGAAUUAGAAGAUGAAGCUUUGGGCUGGGCACGGUAGCUCACGCCUGUAAUCCCAGCACUUUGGAAGGCCAAGGUGGUUGGAUCACCUGAGGUCAGGAGUUUGAGACCAGCCUGGCCAACAUGGCAAAACCCUGUCUCUACUAAAAAUACAAAAAUUAGCCAGGCAUGGUGGCGCAUGUCUGUAAUCCCUGCUACUUGGGAGGCUGAGGCAGGAGAAUCACUUGAACCUGGGAAGUGGAGGUUGCAGUGAGCCAAGAUCACGCCAUUGCACUCCAGCCUAGGCAACAGAGCAAGACUCCAUCUCAAAAAAAAAAAAAAACUGACGUUUUGAAAGAUUAAAGACUUGCUCAUAAAAAUUUCCUUUUAAUCUCAAGUUUCCUGAACCCUGCCCAGCUAGAGAUUAAUGUCUGACCAUCAACACAGGACACUGUGCAGAUGGCUACUUGCUGGGGUACAUGAAGACCAAAGCCAGGACACAAGCCCCAGCCCUGCUAAACACGCAGAGACUCUGCCUCAGGCCACCUGCUGUGAGAUUCUGCUUCGCUCCACAGCUGACCCCAGCAUCUUCAUGUGAGGACCAUGAAUGGACAUAGUUUCCAGGUUUUUUUGUGACCCAGGAAACCCGAACUCUCAUCAAAAAUGAAUAAAUAAAAGGAGGGAUGGGUAAGAAAAUGCUAAAAAUCUACUUUUUGAGUCAUUAACAUUCACUUGAAAUUUGUCUCCACUAUUUCCUACUACCCUAGCAAACUCCAACCUGAAUAGCAUGGGUGAUGGCACUAAGCCCUAUAACAGAAAAAGUGCACUUAAGCUCUGUAUUAGUCCGUUCUCUCACUGCUAAUAAAGAUAUACCUGAGGCUGGCUAAUUUAUAAAGGAAAGAAGUUUAAUUGACUCACAGUUCUGCAUGGCUGGGGAGGCCUCAGGAAACCUACAAUCAUGGUGGAAGGGGAAGGGGAAGCAAGGCAACUUCACAAGGCGGCAGGAAGAAGUGCUGAGCAAAGGGGGAAAAGCACCUUAUAAAACCAUCAGAUCUCAUGAGAACUCACUCACUAUCAUGAUGACAGCAUGGAGAUAACCACCUCCAUGAUUCAAUUACCUCCCACCGGGUCUUUCCCAUGACACGUGGGGACUAUGGAAACUACAAUUCAAGAUGAGAUUUGGGUGGGGACACUGUCGAACUAUAUCAAGCUCCAUUCUGAUUUGUGGUGAGUGUUGAGCCUGCUUAAUAAUAUCCCAUUUUUCUACAGCUUUUCUCAUUCCCCAAAUGGCUCUCACCAAUGUUUGCUCAUUGAAUAUUAGCAAGUUCCCCAGACAGGAAUUGGAUUUAAUAUUAUCAUUCCCCAUUCACAGUUGAUGGGAGGGAGGUUCAGAGAGAUUAAAGGCUCUACUCAAACUUGGUAGACUGAUGUGAUAAUAGAGGCAUUUUUCUCUUCCCAUUAAACAGUGCUGUCAUUCUCAGUUUACAGAUUAAGGCCAAUCAGGGCAAAGCAAUUUGUUCGAGAGUACCGAGUCAGAGUUCCAUCUUUGCUCCAGUGACUUAAGAUGCCACCUCUAUUAUUCACUACAUUUUCAUAUGCAUUUGAUUCUAUUUCUGGACUUUCUAUUCUAUUUUAUUGGUCUGUCUAUGCACUAUAUCUCAUUGUUUUUAUUAUAGAAGCUCGAUUAGAUGUCUUAAUGUCUGGUAGAACCCUCUACCACCACUAUCGUUAUUAUUUUUUCUUUUAGUAUUCUCUGGUUAUUCUUGCACAUUUAUUUUUCCACAUAAACUUCAGUACUAACUUGCCAAGCUCUAAAACAAAAAUCUGGCCAGGAACAGUGGCUCACGCCUGUAAUCCCAGCACUUUGGGAGGCCAAGGCGGGUAAAUCACUUGAGGUCAGGAGUUCGAGACCAGCCUGACAUGGAUAAACCCUGUCUCUACUAAAAACACAAAAUUAGCCAGGCACAGUGGCGCAUGCCUGCAAUCCCGGCUACUUGGGAGGCUGAGGCAGGAGAAUCACUUGAAGCUGGGAGGUGGAGGCUGCAGUGAGCUGAGAUCGUGCCAUUGCACUCCAGCCUGGGCAACAAGAGUGAAACUCCAUCUCAAAAACAAACAAACAAAGAAAAACCUUCUGGUAUUUUUAUUGGGAUUGAGAUAACUUCAUAAUUUUACUUAUAGAGAAUUGUGAGAACCCUGAAUAUUUGAGACAUGUCUCAGUUAAUUUAGAAAGUUUAUUUUGCCUAGUUUGAGGAUGCACGUCUGUGACACAGUCUCAGGAAGUCCUGAUGAUAUGUGCCCAAGGUGGUUGGAGCACAGCUUGGUUUUAUACAUCUUAGGGAGUCAUGAGACAUCAAUCCAUAUAUGUAAGAUAUACAUUGGUUCCACCCAGAAAGGUAGGACAACUCGAGUAGGAAGGGGGCUUCCAGGUUACAGGUAGGGGAGAGACAAAUGGUUGCAUUCUUUUGAGUUUCUGAUUAGCCUUUCCAAAGGAGGCAAUCAGAUAUGACCUUAUCUCAGUGAGCAGAGGGACAACUUUGAAUAGAAUGGGAGGCAGGUUUGCCCUGAACAGUUCCCAGCUUGAUUUUUCCCUUUAGCUUAGGUAUUUGAGGGCCCCAAAAUUUAUCUUCCUUUUGCAUUUCCCCCCUUUUCUUUUUUAAAAUCUUUUGGACAAUAUAUGCUUUCACUUAUUAGUGGGAGCUGAACAAUGAGAACACAUGCACACAGGGAGGGGAACAACACACACUGGGGCCUGUUGGGGGAGAGUGGUGGUGGGGACAGUAUUAGAGAAAAUAGCUAAUUCAUGCUGGGCUUAAUACCUAGGUGAUGGAUUGAUAGGUACAGCAAACCACCAUGGCACAUGUUUACCUAUGUGUCAAACCUGCACAUCUUGCACGUGUACCCUGGAACAUAAAAAAAUACAAUUAAAAAUAAAUAAAUAAAUAUACUCUUUUGGAGGAAGCAUUUUAGAAGAAAAUGAGUCUCUGGUCUCAGGUUUCAUCUGAUCUCUCACAGCUAAGAUGGUUUAUUCCUAGACAGGUAGGUCAUGAGUUAUUAGGAAAGCUCAUUUUUAGUAGGUUGAGAAGUUUCAUGUCCUGUGAAGAAAAAAUAGGGGGAGGCUGGCUGGCUGGCUGCAAUGGCUUACACCUGUAAUCCCAGCACUUUGGGAGGCUGAGGCAGUUGGAUCACCUGAGGUCAGGAGUUCAAGACCAGCCUGGCCAACAUGGUGAAACCCCGUCUCUACUAAAAAUACAAAAAUUAGCCAGGAGCAGUGCAUGGCAUCUAUAAUCCCAGCUACUUGGGAGGUUGAGGCAGGAGAAUUGCUUGAACCCAGGAGGUGGAGGUUGCAGUGAGCCAAGAUCAUGCCACCGCAUUCCAGCCUGGGCAACAAGAGUGAAAACUCCAUCUCAAAGCAAGCAAGCAAGCAAGCAAAGGCAAAGAAAAAAAUAGGGGGAAGAAGGGAGAAAAAGAACAACAAACAAAAGAACAAUCCUGGAAAAUUGAUACAGGCCACAUUACUCUGAAGUCCACACAUCAGUAGGUAGUUUGAACAUGGCUUACAUAUGUAAAUAGGUUACUGUUAUUUUCUUCUGAAGUUUAAGUUGUCUAGAUUCAGUUCACAGGGCUUUAAGAAAGCACAACUUAGUUUUCAGUGAUUUCAAAUUAGGAAAAAUGGAAGAAAAAAAGGAAGAAAGAAAAAAAUUGAAAACAUUAUUUUGGAAACAUUUUAGCCAGGAAAUAUUAAAAUUCAGUCCAAAUUGUAGAAAAUAGUAAAAAUUGAAAAACAUUAGGCAAGACUGGACUCUAACAACUGGUGUACUAUAUAGCUUUUUGAAACAUAAUUUUUCUCUCUCCAGUUUCCCAUUUUUACUAAAGACAAAUCAUGGUAGGACCAAUUUGCUUUAUUAUACUUGGCCAGAUUAUUUUUAUAAAGUGCAGCAAGAGUAAUUAUUUUUCACAUAGGCUUUUAAAAUUGGCUUUGAUGGAACAUUGUUCUACAGAAGGAAUCUCAGAUAAGACUUUUUUAAGCCAAGCCCAGCCGUGAAUUUGUACAAUCGAAUACGUAUAAGUUGGAUGAAUUCUUCUACUCUUGAGGUCCCAAGAUAACUUGGGGUUCUGGACUUGCCAGGAAGUGACAUUCUGUACAUUCUGUGACAUUUUGACCCUGUACAGAGACUGUGUAGACAAGGUAUGGGGCCAGUUUUCCCAAGUGGCUUUUAUUGGCUAAGUCAAUUUCAAUUCCUUAAAGGAAAGCAUACCAUUCCAGCCAAAGCUUUGGUAAAAUAACCAGUUUCUCCAAUUGUAUCCUACUACAAUUCAAAACAGAUUCUUA
Molecule: long non-coding RNA, 24482 nt
Organism: Gorilla gorilla gorilla (western lowland gorilla)
Lineage: Eukaryota; Metazoa; Chordata; Mammalia; Primates; Hominidae
Exons: 3
Source: RefSeq, a predicted model, not a curated record